Equus caballus (horse) is the source of this 2079-nucleotide long non-coding RNA. Lineage: Eukaryota; Metazoa; Chordata; Mammalia; Perissodactyla; Equidae. The record is from Ensembl.
ACAGAUUCGUUCUUCCCCCUUACUCUGCUCUCCAGGAAUUGGCUUUUUACAAACAUUUCCAAGGCUACUUUCGUCAACUGCCGUCAAGCUAGGUGGGAUAAAUGGGAAGCUGUGAUAUGAGUUUGGGGCCAAAGAAAGGGAUAAGUCGAGCUGGCCACACAACCGUCUCACUGCUUCAGGAAGUAGCCUGAUCUCUCUGUGGUUCUAAUUCUAAUCAGGGUUCUAAACAGCCGCUCCCACUGUGAUGUCACCUUCUGCUGUGUGGCCCUUGUUCCUUGGCUCUUUUAAUAUCUUUGCCUUCUCCCGUUGCCCUCCAGGUCUAGGAAUGGAAGUGUUUUGCUGAUGUAGCUAAUGUUGGGGUCAAAGAAAGAAUAUAAUACACUUAUGAAAAAGAGACAGCCUCAUCAAUCCAGUUUUUCUUGGCUCAGUCAGCAGAAGAAACAGAAAUGCUGUCAUUGCUUACAUGUGAGAUAAAGGAUAAAAAGAGGGAAUGUGUUGGUUUACUGCAAAGGCCAUUCUUUUGGUUUGAGAACAUUGCUGGAAAUAACCUGAGCUGAGAAAAGCUCCCUAUGAGGAAUACAUGUUAUGGGAAACUGUUAAAGGCAAAGCUUGGUCACUGACCUUCUCCGUGUAGUUUAAUCAAGCUGCAAGCACCCCACCAAAAAAGACAGCUGCUUAAAGAAGAGAGCCCUCAACAAGCCAGGACAUUUUACCUUUCCUCUAUUACAUGAGUUGGGGAUAAGACACAAGUGCGCAAUAAAUUUCUAGUUCUCGCAUUCAGAGGCUGCACUAUAAUAAUGAUAGACUAUAAAUCACAGAAAAAAUGUUACCUUUAUUUUAGGACGGUCGAUAGCUAGAAACAGUGCUCACCAAUAGCACAGAUGUCUAGCAGAUAUAAAAACAAAUGCUUGGCAGUUGUUUAAAAAUGGGAAGUACGAGGAUCUGCCCCGAAAUAUAUUAGAAAACAGCAGCAGUUCAUCGUUUUGUCAAGUUUCCAGUUUUGCAAUUUACUAUUUUUUUAAAAAAAAAUCCCGUGUUCCGUUGUUGAAGAUAGAACUGCAACUUUGGGAAAGAGAAAAAAUUUUGGUCACGCAUUUCUGCAAAACUCUUGUAAACAUUUGUGGAUGGUAUCUACAUACACGAGCUUUUAUAUAAAUGUGUUUUAAAGUUUAAGGAAAAUUGAACGUGAGGAAUUGAAGUAAGAUGAGGCUGUAUACGAAUGGGAGGCUCCUGCAAGGACCCGAGGGGACUGGAACUAGGAUUUCAAUGUGCCAACUAUUAGCUAAUUGUGAAGAUGACACUGCCUGGCCAGACUCAGAGUCCACAUCCCAGCGGCUGCCUCAAAAGAGCUGUUAGAAGAAGAAAAUGCUCAUUUGUUGCAACUGAGACCAUGUGCUCUGAAAUCCAGUCAUGGGCAUUGGAAAUGGAGAUCCCUCUAAAAACUGUGGCAAUGCUGAGGGUCCAAGAGGCUCUUGAUACCACUCCUGGAGAGGUUGUUUUCUCUGGAAGCAGGAACUGAGAGUGAAUUUGGAUUAUCGUGAUCAAUAUGGAAGUAAAAUCUACAAGUUCAAAUGAGACUUAGAGUUAUUCUCUGAAGAUUUAGCAACAAAGACUGCCAAGUGUUUAAUCAAAAGAUUGCAUUUUCUCACGAUAAAAAUGGAUAGUUGUGGCUUGGAAAAUGGGAAACUGGACCAACUAUGAACUAGAGCAAAGUUGAAGACAACUCUAAAUGUUUCGAGAGUAUUUUUGGUAAUUCCCUGAGCUUUCCUGACAAUUGGUCCUUCUACCCUCACUGCAUCCUGUGGGAUAAUGUUACAUACCCGAAGUCCGGGAGGCAGCACGGUGCAACUUCAGGGGUAGUAGCAGUUUUCCUUUUUUGUUUUUUUUUCAAUUAAACGGUUUUUCCGAGAAAACCUAAUUAUUUAAUAGUGUUGUAGCUCUGAAGUUGUGAGUUGAUUCGAGAUAUUUGGAGUUCUGGUUCUGUGAGGCUUAGCUACAUGUGGCUAUUGGAUCACAUAUCCGCUCCCCUGCCAUGUAAGAUGAAAACACGUUGGAAUAUAACUAUUGGUUGGCUUUGUG